AGUCGAGCGGAGAUGAGGUGCUUGCACCUUAUCUUAGCGGCGGACGGGUGAGUAAUGCUUAGGAGUCUGCCUAUUAGUGGGGGACAACAUUCCGAAAGGAAUGCUAAUACCGCAUACGUCCUACGGGAGAAAGCAGGGGAUCUUCGGACCUUGCGCUAAUAGAUGAGCCUAAGUCGGAUUAGCUAGUUGGUGGGGUAAAGGCCUACCAAGGCGACGAUCUGUAGCGGGUCUGAGAGGAUGAUCCGCCACACUGGGACUGAGACACGGCCCAGACUCCUACGGGAGGCAGCAGUGGGGAAUAUUGGACAAUGGGGGGAACCCUGAUCCAGCCAUGCCGCGUGUGUGAAGAAGGCCUUAUGGUUGUAAAGCACUUUAAGCGAGGAGGAGGCUACUGAGACUAAUACUCUUGGAUAGUGGACGUUACUCGCAGAAUAAGCACCGGCUAACUCUGUGCCAGCAGCCGCGGUAAUACAGAGGGUGCGAGCGUUAAUCGGAUUUACUGGGCGUAAAGCGUGCGUAGGCGGCUUUUUAAGUCGGAUGUGAAAUCCCCGAGCUUAACUUGGGAAUUGCAUUCGAUACUGGGAAGCUAGAGUAUGGGAGAGGAUGGUAGAAUUCCAGGUGUAGCGGUGAAAUGCGUAGAGAUCUGGAGGAAUACCGAUGGCGAAGGCAGCCAUCUGGCCUAAUACUGACGCUGAGGUACGAAAGCAUGGGGAGCAAACAGGAUUAGAUACCCUGGUAGUCCAUGCCGUAAACGAUGUCUACUAGCCGUUGGGGCCUUUGAGGCUUUAGUGGCGCAGCUAACGCGAUAAGUAGACCGCCUGGGGGAGUACGGUCGCAAGACUAAAAACUCAAAUGAAUUG
RNAcentral lists this ribosomal RNA (860 nucleotides) under uncultured bacterium. RNAcentral describes it as "bacterial SSU rRNA". It matches the Rfam family "Bacterial small subunit ribosomal RNA", at positions 60 to 912 of the family's 1533-position model. The record is from RNAcentral.